GCUUAACGCGAAGAACCUUACCCACCUUUGACAUCCCGUGCUAUCCAGAGAGAUCUGGAGUCCCUUCGGGCGCGGAGACAGGUGCUGCAUGGCUGUCGUCAGCUCGUGUCGUGAGAUGUUGGGUUAAGUCCCGCAACGAGCGCAACCCUCGCUUCUAGUUGCCAGCAUUUAGUUGGGCACUCUAGAGGAACUGNCCUGCGCCAAGCAGGAGGAAGGCGGGGAGUGACGUCAAGUCCUCAUGGCCCUUACAGGUGGGGCGUACACACGUGCUACAAUGGCGGUGACAAGGGAUAAUCCCUAAAAGCCGUCUCAGUUCGGAUUGUCCUCUGCAACUCGAGGGCAUGAAGUUGGAAUCGCUAGUAAUCGCGGAUCAGCACGCCGCGGUGAAUCGUUCCCGGGUC
Molecule: ribosomal RNA, 401 nt
Filed under: uncultured bacterium
Lineage: Bacteria
Description: bacterial SSU rRNA
Rfam family: Bacterial small subunit ribosomal RNA
Source: RNAcentral